AUGGUGUAUCUCAUAUUGGAUCCAUCUACUUUUUUUGAUUGAUUUUAAUAGUAUUCUGGAUUCACCAUUGUCAUUAGUCAUUAAUUUAGUCUAGUUAAUAUUCUUUACUUGGACUUUAAAGAUUUUUUAAUACCUUUCUUUUGUUCUAUUCAUGACUCAAGUCUGGUCUGUAAAGAGACAUACUAAACAAGCUUACAUUUAUUAAUCAUUUUGGCAUGUACAUAGAUAUACAUAAAGGCAAUGUCUAGCUAUAAUUGUUUUUCUAUUGAUAUUUUCAGACUUAUUAUUGCUAACAAUUUUACAAGAUAUUGUAGGAAUGACCCUUAUAUGCAUUUAGUGAAAGAAACCACUUAUUACACCAAUCUUAAAAAAUAUUUCAAAAUCAGCUUAAGGAUAACAAGUAAUACAAAGUACUGUUUAGCAUCAUAAGCCAAAGACUUAAUGUACCUUAAUUUAUAACUGUUGCACAGAAAUUGAUGAAAUUCUAAAUAUUUAAUGAAUGAG
This is a non-coding RNA of Cinara cedri, 504 nucleotides long. Lineage: Eukaryota; Metazoa; Arthropoda; Insecta; Hemiptera; Aphididae. The record is from the annotation of a GenBank genome assembly.